GGAGUUAGGAAAUGUAGACUCGCUCAUAUCGGGUCUAUUUGACAAAGGCUCCAAAGGAAGCCACGGCUAACUCUGUGCCAGCAGCCGCGGUAAUACAGAGGUGGCAAGCGUUGUUCGGAAUUAUUGGGCGUAAAGAGCACGUAGGUGGAUUUGUAAGUCAGACGUGAAAGCCUUCUGUUCAACGGAAGAAUUGCAUCUGAAACUACAAACCUUGAGUGUAGGAGGGGAGAGUGGAACUUCUGGU
This 244-nucleotide ribosomal RNA is filed under the name uncultured anaerobic ammonium-oxidizing bacterium. RNAcentral describes it as "partial 16S ribosomal RNA". It matches the Rfam family "Bacterial small subunit ribosomal RNA", at positions 439 to 674 of the family's 1533-position model. The record is from RNAcentral.